UACGAAGGGGGCUAGCGUUGGUCGGAAUUACUGGGCGUAAAGCGCGCGCAGGCGGUUCUUCAAGUCAGGGGUGAAAGCCCGGAGCUCAACUCCGGAACUGCCAUUGAAACUGUAGAACUUGAGGAUGAGAGAGGUGAGUGGAAUUCCCAGUGUAGAGGUGAAAUUCGUAGAUAUUGGGAAGAACACCGGUGGCGAAGGCGGCUCACUGGCUCAUUUCUGACGCUCAGGCGCGACAGCGUGGGGAUCAAACAGG
Molecule: ribosomal RNA, 253 nt
Filed under: uncultured bacterium
Lineage: Bacteria
Description: partial 16S ribosomal RNA
Rfam family: Bacterial small subunit ribosomal RNA
Source: RNAcentral